GGUUAGACGAAGAAUCUAAAUGGAAUAGUUUAUUGUUUUAACUAACAGUAAAUAUUUUUGAGUAAAUCUAUUUCUUUUUUUAGGUGAAAUUUAUAUAAAUAAACAAAAAAUCUUAUUCUAUUUAUAGGAGUUAAUAAGUGGAGGUAUGAAACCAGGAUUAGAUACCCUGUUAUCCUUUAUAAUACAUAAUGGGGUAGUAAAAGUUAUUCUUCAAACCCAAAGAUUUUGGCGGCAUUCUAACCAAACAGAGGAGCUUGUCUUAUAAUCGAUAAUCCCCGUUUUAUCUUACCUUUACUUGUUUAGCUUGUAUACCUCCGUUGCUAGAUUACUCUAAAAGGAUGUUUUCUGUAAAAAUUAUUUUCUCACUUCAGGUCAAGGUGCAGUUUAUGUAAAGGAAACGAUGAGCUACAAUUUUUAUUUAAAAAAACGGAUUUUAGUUUAAAAUCUGAUUGAAGGUGGAUUUGUUAGUAAACCCUUUUAAGAAAAAAAGGUUGAAUUAGGUAAUAGAAUGUGCACAUAUCGCCCGUCACUCUCCUUCUAAGAGGAGAUAAGUCGUAACAAA
This 562-nucleotide ribosomal RNA is filed under the name Daphnia jollyi. Its description in RNAcentral is "partial 12S ribosomal RNA". The stretch from base 191 to 562 matches the Rfam family "Microsporidia small subunit ribosomal RNA", at positions 751 to 1278 of the family's 1311-position model. Lineage: Eukaryota; Metazoa; Arthropoda; Branchiopoda; Diplostraca; Daphniidae. The record is from RNAcentral.